UUGGGAGCCUACGGCACUGCCCGUAGCUCCCUAAAGUGAUUGGCGGAGUUGGUUCUCACUCUAGGCGUAGUAAAUCUAUCUCGCCUCUGUAGUGGUUCCGGCCCCUGCCGUAAAACCCCCUAUAUCAAAGGUUGACCUCGGAUCAGGUAGGAAUACCCGCUGAACUUAAGCAUAUCAAUAAGCGGAGGAAAAGAAACCAACAGGGAUUGCCCUAGUAACGGCGAGUGAAGCGGCAACAGCUCAAAUUUGAAAUCUGGCUUUCGGGCCCGAGUUGUAAUUUGUAGAGGAUGAUUUUGGCGCGGUGCCUUCCGAGUUCCCUGGAACGGGACGCCUUAGAGGGUGAGAGCCCCGUACGGUUGGACACCAAGCCUCUGUAAAUCUCCUUCGACGAGUCGAGUAGUUUGGGAAUGCUGCUCUAAAUGGGAGGUAAAUUCCUUCUAAAGCUAAAUACCGGCCAGAGACCGAUAGCGCACAAGUAGAGUGAUCGAAAGAUGAAAAGCACUUUGAAAAGAGGGUUAAAUAGCACGUGAAAUUGUUGAAAGGGAAGCAUUUACUACCAGACCUUCUCCUGGCGGAUCAUGCGGUGUUCUCACCGCUGCACUUCGCCUGGUUUAGGCCAGCAUCGGUUUUCGUAGGGGGAUAAAAGCUUUAGGAACGUAGCUCCCUCGGGAGUGUUAUAGCCYUUUGCAUAAUACCCUUACGGGGACCGAGGACCGCGC
RNAcentral lists this ribosomal RNA (719 nucleotides) under Xylariaceae sp. genotype 322. RNAcentral's name for it is "eukaryotic LSU rRNA". The stretch from base 133 to 719 matches the Rfam family "Eukaryotic large subunit ribosomal RNA", at positions 1 to 600 of the family's 3401-position model. The record is from RNAcentral. Lineage: Eukaryota; Fungi; Ascomycota; Sordariomycetes; Xylariales; Xylariaceae.